UUUUAGAUUUUUUGUCAUCACUAAUUGUUUCAAUCCAGCGGAAGAAGGCAACAUCCCGCCUAAGAUAUUCCGCAGCAGUUUACAAGGGAAGGAGCUCAGGAUCGUCACCGGCCACUUUCCACCAGUGAUUUCCAUUUUACGGAAUUCCUCCGGCCACAUCAUUGGGUAUUCAGAUCAACUGUACCUUCAAUUUCUUUACUUGGCUAAGAAAUUAAAGUUCACUUAUAAAAUAUUCCCUGCCGCUGAGAAUACCAACGGAGUCAAAAUCAAUGGAUCCUGGAACGGAAUAAUCGGAGCUCUAACCAAAGGCGAAGCUGAUUUCGGUUUAGUCCCAGUAGCCGUUUCGCUGGAGCGGUACGAAGCUAUAGAGUUCUGCGGUAGAGUAGGAGGAGACUAUACGGGCAUUCUAAUUAAAUAUCCCGAGGGUAGAAUUUCAUUCACUAGCGCAUUCGACGUUUUCUCUACAGGAAUAUGGAUCGGAUGGAUUAUUUCCGGAGUUGUGGUCGUUGCAGUUUCCACUGUUCUGGCUUACUUUUCAAAAAGAUUGGGUAUUAGAGUUGGAGAAAAUAAGGCUACAAGUAUUGGGUGGUACUUGUAUGGUACCAUCCUUUCC
Long non-coding RNA from Daphnia pulicaria, 613 nucleotides. RefSeq lists it as uncharacterized. The transcript is spliced from 5 exons. The record is from RefSeq and is a predicted model, not a curated record. Lineage: Eukaryota; Metazoa; Arthropoda; Branchiopoda; Diplostraca; Daphniidae.